This 87-nucleotide transfer RNA is filed under the name Acidobacteriota bacterium. RNAcentral describes it as "Acidobacteria bacterium (sediment metagenome) tRNA-Ser". It matches the Rfam family "tRNA". From Rfam's summary of the family: Transfer RNA (tRNA) molecules are approximately 80 nucleotides in length. Their secondary structure includes four short double-helical elements and three loops (D, anti-codon, and T loops). Lineage: Bacteria; Pseudomonadati; Acidobacteriota. The record is from RNAcentral.
GGAGAGGUGCUGGAGCGGUUGAACAGGCCGGUCUCGAAAACCGGAGUGGGGGCGACUCCACCGUGGGUUCGAAUCCCACCCUCUCCG